RNAcentral lists this ribosomal RNA (497 nucleotides) under uncultured bacterium. RNAcentral describes it as "partial 16S ribosomal RNA". It matches the Rfam family "Bacterial small subunit ribosomal RNA", at positions 28 to 507 of the family's 1533-position model. The record is from RNAcentral.
GAUGAACGCUGGCGGCGUGCCUAAUACAUGCAAGUCGAGCGAACAGACGAGGAGCUUGUUCCUCUGACGUUAGCGGCGGACGGGUGAGUAACACGUGGAUAACCUACCUAUAAGACUGGGAUAACUUCGGGAAACCGGAGCUAAUACCGGAUAAUAUAUUGAACCGCAUGGUUCCAUAGUGAAAGAUGGUUUUGCUGUCACUUAUAGCUGGAUCCGCGCCGCAUUAGCUAGUUGGUAAGGUAACGGCUUACCAAGGCAACGAUGCGUAGCCGACCUGAGAGGGUGAUCGGCCACACUGGAACUGAGACACGGUCCAGACUCCUACGGGAGGCAGCAGUAGGGAAUCUUCCGCAAUGGGCGAAAUCUUGACGGAGCAACGCCGCGUGAGUGAUGAAGGUCUUCGGAUCGUAAGACUCUGUUAUUAGGGAAGAACAAUUGUGUAAGUAACUAUGCACGUCUUGACGGUACCUAAUCAGAAAGCCACGGCUAACUACGUG